UAAGAUGUUUUUAAUGUUUUUGAAGGAAGUCACUUCUGCUUACCAAGGCUGCAUUCAUUUCAUCAAAAAUGCAGUAA
Sinocyclocheilus rhinocerous is the source of this 77-nucleotide long non-coding RNA. RefSeq lists it as uncharacterized. Lineage: Eukaryota; Metazoa; Chordata; Actinopteri; Cypriniformes; Cyprinidae. The transcript has 2 exons. The record is from RefSeq and is a predicted model, not a curated record.